UGGCGGUGCGCCUUAUGCAUGCAAGUCGAGCGAAGCUUUUCAGUAGUUUACUACAGAAAAUGACUGAGCGGCGAACGGGUGAGUAACGCGUGAGCAAUCUACCUUAGUUACAGGGAUAGCCCGAGGAAACUCGGAUUAAUACCUGAUAUUCUUUAUAUUUCGCAUGAAAUUAAAAGGAAAGGUCAGCCGAACUAAGAUGAGCUCGCGUUCUAUCAGCUAGUUGGUGAGGUAAAAGCUCACCAAGGCUACGACGGAUAGCUGGUCUGAGAGGACGAUCAGCCACACUGGGACUGAGACACGGCCCAGACUCCUACGGGAGGCUGCAGCAGGGAAUAUUGCGCAAUGAGCGAAAGCUUGACGCAGCGACACCGCGUGUGGGAUGACGGAUCUAGGUUUGUAAACCACUUUCAGGAGGGAAGAAAAUGACGGUACCUCCACAAGAAGCCCCGGCCAACUACGUGCCAGCAGCCGCGGUAAUACGUAGGGGGCGAGCGUUGUCCGGAUUUAUUGGGCGUAAAGAGCUCGUAGGCGGUUCAACAAGUCGGUCGUGAAAGUUCAGGGCUCAACCCUGAAAUGUCGAUCGAUACUGUUGUGACUAGGAUACGGUAGAGGUGAGUGGAAUUCCGAGUGUAACGGUGAAAUGCGUAGAUAUUCGGAGGAACACCAAUUGCGAAGGCAGCUCACU
RNAcentral lists this ribosomal RNA (685 nucleotides) under uncultured bacterium. Its description in RNAcentral is "bacterial SSU rRNA". It matches the Rfam family "Bacterial small subunit ribosomal RNA", at positions 37 to 730 of the family's 1533-position model. The record is from RNAcentral.